This 195-nucleotide ribosomal RNA is filed under the name uncultured bacterium. RNAcentral describes it as "partial 16S ribosomal RNA". It matches the Rfam family "Bacterial small subunit ribosomal RNA", at positions 338 to 524 of the family's 1533-position model. The record is from RNAcentral.
CCUACGGGAGGCAGCAGUAGGGAAUCUUCCGCAAUGGACGAAAGUCUGACGGAGCAACGCCGCGUGAGUGAUGAAGGCUUUCGGGUCGUAAAGCUCUGUUGUUAGGGAAGAACAAGUGCUAGUUGAAUAAGCUGGCACCUUGACGGUACUUAACCAGAAAGCCACGGCUAACUACGUGCCAGCAGCCGCGGUAAU